CCUACGGGAGGCAGCAGUGGGGGAUAUUGUACAAUGGGGGAAACCCUGAUGCAGCGACGCCGCGUGGGCGAAGAAGUAUUUCGGUAUGUAAAGCCCUAUCAGCAGGGAAGAAGAAAUGACGGUACCUGAGUAAGAAGCACCGGCUAAAUACGUGCCAGCAGCCGCCGUAAUACGGAUGGUCCAAGCGUUAUCCGGAUUUACUGGGUGUAACGGGAGCGCAGGCGGCACGGCAAGCCUGAUGUGAAAGCCCUCGGCCCAACCGCGGGCCUGCAUUGUGAACUACCGGGCGGGAGUGCCGGAGAGGUAGGCGGAAUUACUAGUGUAGCGGUGAAAGGCGUAGAUAUUAGGAGGAACACCAGUGGCGAAGGCGGCCUACUGGACGGUGACUGACGCUGAGGCUCGAAAGCGUGGGGAGCAAACAGGAUUAGAUACCCCUGUAGUC
Molecule: ribosomal RNA, 442 nt
Filed under: uncultured bacterium
Lineage: Bacteria
Description: partial 16S ribosomal RNA
Rfam family: Bacterial small subunit ribosomal RNA
Source: RNAcentral